GCCGUGAUCGUAUAGUGGUUAGUACCUUGCGUUGUGGCCGCAAUAACCCAGGCUCGAAUCCUGGUCACGGCA
Molecule: transfer RNA, 72 nt
Filed under: Rhipicephalus microplus (southern cattle tick)
Lineage: Eukaryota; Metazoa; Arthropoda; Arachnida; Ixodida; Ixodidae
Also listed under: 1 other name
Rfam family: tRNA
About the family: Transfer RNA (tRNA) molecules are approximately 80 nucleotides in length. Their secondary structure includes four short double-helical elements and three loops (D, anti-codon, and T loops).
Source: Rfam by way of RNAcentral